GCGGCUGUGGCGGAAUUGGUAGACGCGUUAGCUUCAGGUGCUAGUGAGCGAAAGCUCGUGGAGGUUCGAGUCCUCUCAGCCGCACCA
This 87-nucleotide transfer RNA is filed under the name Alphaproteobacteria bacterium. Its description in RNAcentral is "tRNA-Leu". It matches the Rfam family "tRNA". From Rfam's summary of the family: Transfer RNA (tRNA) molecules are approximately 80 nucleotides in length. Lineage: Bacteria; Pseudomonadati; Pseudomonadota; Alphaproteobacteria. The record is from RNAcentral. RNAcentral also lists the same sequence under 1 other name.